CCUACGGGGGGCAGCAGUGGGGGAUAUUGCACAAUGGGGGAAACCCUGAUGCAGCGACGCCGCGUGUGGGAAGACGGUCCUCUGGAUUGUAAACCACUGUCCCCAGGGACGAAGAUGACGGUACCUGGGGAGGAAGCUCCGGCUAACUACGUACCAGCAGCCGCGGUAAUACGUAGGGAGCGAGCGUUGUCCGGAAUUACUGGGUGUAAAGGGAGCGUAGGCGGGACUGCAAGUUGGGUGUAAAAUCUACCGGCUCAACCGGUAGCCGCACUCAAAACUGCAGUUCUUGAGAGAAGUAGAGGCAGGCGGAAUGCGUAGUGUAGCGGUGAAAUGCGUAGAUAUUAGGAGGAACACCAGUGGCGAAGGCGGCCUGCUGGGCUUUUACUGACGCUGAGGCUCGAAAGUGUGGGGAGCGAACAGGAUUAGAUACCCCUGUAGUC
Molecule: ribosomal RNA, 440 nt
Filed under: uncultured bacterium
Lineage: Bacteria
Description: partial 16S ribosomal RNA
Rfam family: Bacterial small subunit ribosomal RNA
Source: RNAcentral